This 309-nucleotide ribosomal RNA is filed under the name Polydora brevipalpa. RNAcentral describes it as "partial large subunit ribosomal RNA". It matches the Rfam family "Bacterial large subunit ribosomal RNA", at positions 1959 to 2517 of the family's 2925-position model. The record is from RNAcentral. Lineage: Eukaryota; Metazoa; Annelida; Polychaeta; Spionida; Spionidae.
GCAUAAUCAUUUGCCGUUUAAUUGAUGGCUGGAAUGAAUGAAUAUACGAGAGCUAAGCUGUCUCAUUUUUAAAAAUAAAAAUUGACCCUCAAGUGAAGAGACUUGAAUAAAAAAAAAAGACGAAAAGACCCUAUAGAGCUUUACCUAAAAUUCAUAUAUUAUUUAUUAAAGGUUUAGUUGGGGCAACUAGAGAGAACCUAAAACCUCUCUACUUUAAAACUAUUAUGAUCCGUUUUUACGAAAAGUAGAAAAAGCUACCUUAGGGAUAACAGGCUAAUCCUCUUUAAGAGACCAUAUUGACAAGAGGGA